GACGGAGGGCGCAAGCGUUGUUCGGAAUUACUGGGCGUAAAGCGCACGCAGGCGGUCUGCUAAGUCCUUUGUGAAAGCCCGGGGCUCAACCCCGGAAUUGCAUCGGAUACUGACAGACUGGAGACAGGUAGAGGCUAGCGGAAUUCCUGGUGUAGCGGUGGAAUGCGUAGAUAUCAGGAAGAACACCUGUGGCGAAGGCGGCUAGCUGGGCCUGUUCUGACGCUCAUGUGCGAAAGCGUGGGGAGCAAACAGGAUUAGAUACCCGCGUA
RNAcentral lists this ribosomal RNA (269 nucleotides) under uncultured prokaryote. Its description in RNAcentral is "partial 16S ribosomal RNA". It matches the Rfam family "Bacterial small subunit ribosomal RNA", at positions 524 to 792 of the family's 1533-position model. The record is from RNAcentral.